Molecule: unclassified non-coding RNA, 395 nt
Filed under: soil metagenome
Description: partial contains 5.8S ribosomal RNA, internal transcribed spacer 2, and large subunit ribosomal RNA
Rfam family: 5.8S ribosomal RNA (bases 1-122)
Source: RNAcentral
GAUGAAGAACGCAGCGAAAUGCGAUACUUGGUGUGAAUUGCAGAAUCCCGUGAACCAUCGAGUCUUUGAACGCAAGUUGCGCCCGAAGCCAUCAGGUUGAGGGCACGUCUGCCUGGGCGUCACAUAUCGUUGCCCAAUGCCUAUUGCAGUGCAAUAGGAAUUUCUAGGGCGAAUGAUGGCUUCCCGUGAGCGUUGUUGCCUCGCGGUUGGUUGAAAAUCGAGUCCUUGGUAGGGUGUGCCAUGGUAGAUGGUGGUCGAGUUAGAACGAUACCGAUCAUGUGCAUGCUCCCCAAAAUAUGGCCUCUAUGACCCACACGCGUCCUUUGACGCUCAUGACGAGACCUCAGGUCAGGCGGGGCUACCCGCUGAAUUUAAGCAUAUCAAUAAGCGGAGGA